RNAcentral lists this ribosomal RNA (371 nucleotides) under uncultured organism. Its description in RNAcentral is "partial 16S ribosomal RNA". It matches the Rfam family "Bacterial small subunit ribosomal RNA", at positions 527 to 896 of the family's 1533-position model. The record is from RNAcentral.
GUAGGUGGCAAGCGUUGUCCGGAAUUAUUGGGCGUAAAGCGCGCGCAGGCGGUCCUUUAAGUCUGAUGUGAAAGCCCACGGCUCAACCGUGGAGGGUCAUUGGAAACUGGGGGACUUGAGUACAGAAGAGGAAAGCGGAAUUCCAAGUGUAGCGGUGAAAUGCGUAGAGAUUUGGAGGAACACCAGUGGCGAAGGCGGCUUUCUGGUCUGUAACUGACGCUGAGGCGCGAAAGCGUGGGGAGCAAACAGGAUUAGAUACCCUGGUAGUCCACGCCGUAAACGAUGAGUGCUAAGUGUUAGGAGGUUUCCCGCCCCUUAGUGCUGCAGCUAACGCAUUAAGCACUCCGCCUGGGGAUACGGCCGCAAGGCUG